RNAcentral lists this ribosomal RNA (253 nucleotides) under uncultured bacterium. RNAcentral's name for it is "partial 16S ribosomal RNA". It matches the Rfam family "Bacterial small subunit ribosomal RNA", at positions 524 to 776 of the family's 1533-position model. The record is from RNAcentral.
GACGAAGGGGGCUAGCGUUGUUCGGAAUUACUGGGCGUAAAGCGCGUGUAGGCUGUUCGGAAAGUCGGGUGUGAAAGCCCUGGGCUCAACCUAGGAAGUGCACUCGAAACUCCCGAACUGGAGUCCCGGAGAGGAAGGCGGAAUUCUCGGUGUAGAGGUGAAAUUCGUAGAUAUCGAGAGGAACAUCGGUGGCGAAGGCGGCCUUCUGGACGGUGACUGACGCUGAGACGCGAAAGCGUGGGGAGCGAACAGG